CUGUAGCCAAUGAAGGCAACCGGGUUCCCUUCCUCUCCUCACAGGGCCCCGGGUGCAAUGGCCGUAAGCCACAGUCUCCUUGGGAGCGUGCACAACCUGCUGCUUGCACAGGUUGCUCUAAGGGAUCCUGGAGACACGG
This is a small nucleolar RNA of Mesocricetus auratus (golden hamster), 139 nucleotides long. RefSeq annotates it as small nucleolar RNA SNORA70. NCBI's taxonomy places the organism in Eukaryota, Metazoa, Chordata, Mammalia, Rodentia, Cricetidae. The record is from RefSeq and is a predicted model, not a curated record. The transcript has a single exon.